This 251-nucleotide ribosomal RNA is filed under the name uncultured bacterium. RNAcentral describes it as "partial 16S ribosomal RNA". It matches the Rfam family "Bacterial small subunit ribosomal RNA", at positions 524 to 775 of the family's 1533-position model. The record is from RNAcentral.
UACGUAGGGGGCAAGCGUUAUCCGGAAUUAUUGGGCGUAAAGAGUACGUAGGUGGCAACCUAAGCGCAGGGUUUAAGGCAAUGGCUCAACCAUUGUUCGCCCUGCGAACUGGGAUGCUUGAGUGCAGGAGAGGAAAGCGGAAUUCCUAGUGUAGCGGUGAAAUGCGUAGAUAUUAGGAGGAACACCAGUGGCGAAGGCGGCUUUCUGGACUGUAACUGACACUGAGGUACGAAAGCGUGGGGAGCAAACAG